Molecule: long non-coding RNA, 2490 nt
Filed under: Marmota monax (woodchuck)
Lineage: Eukaryota; Metazoa; Chordata; Mammalia; Rodentia; Sciuridae
Source: RNAcentral
UUUAAAUUUCUGUUUCCAGCUAAAGAACUUCAUGAAGAGCUAUGAUGGGGUAGCUGCUGCCUCUUUCUCACGUGCUGUGGAAACCGUUGAAGCCAAUGUGCGCUGGAAAAUGCUUUAUCAAGAUGAGCUCUUCCAAUGGCUGGGGAAAGCUCUGAGGCACUAAUAUGUGUCUCUUAUAAAAAAAAAAAAGACUGAGAUUUUUGGAAGAGGACCUGUUUUAUGUGGAAUGAGGAAAACAUGCUGUGUAAAAAAAAAAAAAUGGCCAGAUUUUCAGUGUUAACGUGUGGGAGGAUUUUUUUUUUUUUUUACUCUUUAGUUUGGGGGAUUAAUUUUUGUUUCAUUCAUUCACUUUUGUUUCUUUAUUGGGUGUUCUUUAGAGAAACUCUUGCAAGUGAAACUUGCCAUGGUUGCUUCAGCUGUACAUUCCUUGCUGUACAGGACCAAAUAUGAUAGUGAUGCAUGUUGAUGUUGCAGUCAGUUUGGAAAAAAAAAAUCAUAUUCAGAAUAUUCUGUGCAUGGAUGUAUGGUCCUGCCUGUGUUCCAGCAUGCUUAUUUAAAAUGUCCAAUGUUGUAUGUGAAUAUAUGUUCCAUCCAGGAUGGGCAUUAUGCAAAAGCACAAAGAUUAUCUAUGACAAUCAGUGUUGCAAUGAAAGAAAAACUAAAAAGGGUAGUUAGAUUCUUAGUGUUAGACAAUGGGAGAGAUAAAAUAACCCUUUAAGUGAACAGUGUCAUUUAUUUCAGCACUUGGAUUGUCUGGCAAUGAUUACUGUGUUACUAACUCACUUUCUUUGAGUUAAAGCUCUGUACACAUUUAAAAAGGCAUAUAGAUAGUGUAUACAUAUGUAUAUGUACAUAGGGAAGCCCCGUAUGUAUAUAGUAUGUUGUACACUGCACACGUGCAAAGAAUCUCUUAAAUCUAAGAAAAUUUAUCUCUUUUUAUAAAUGUGUAGAUGUUUGGAAAAGGGUUAGAGGAAUUUAUCUCAACAUUAUCCUUCCUAUUUCCUAACUAAAUUUCUCAACUUAUUUUUCAUUUACUUUCUGAAGUAUGGUUUACUCUACUACAUGAAGAUGAAUCCUAACAAAAUUUAUUGUGUAAACCAUUCUUCUAAGUCUCCUAAAUCAGUAGCAGCCAUGCAUAUAGAUUGUGUCAUCAUUGGUCAGAUGUUCUAUUCAGUAUAAUAAUUGUGUAAACUUAGUACUGCCAAUACUGAGAAAGUGUUUAUUUUCCAUCUUGUUUGUCCAUCUCAUGUUGGAGAGUUAAAGUUGCUCUCUGUGUGUUGGUCUUUAUGUCUGUGUUGCUCCAAUCCUCCAUUAAGCAACCAUACCUCAAUAGGUCUAUUAGCAUUUAAUGACCUUUUAUGCCACUUGUGCCAUCCCUUGAGAUAAGAAGUUUCUUUUCAUGUGUUAAUGUACAAAGUCUUUCCUUUAGUAUUGACAACUCUAUUCUACCUGGGAAUUUUGAAUAGCCAUUGGCUUUGUAUUACAUAACAAAAUAUUUUUAAAUGAUAUUUUCACCCAGUAGGCCAACUCUUUAAACACUACUUAGAUGCUUCAGAAUUAACAUAUUUUAAAUUUACCAUUAUUAAAUACCAAUACAACUACUAUACUUAAGCCAAAUUUUUGUGGACCACUUCCUAUUUUCCUGAGGUGUUCCAUUCCUCCAAACCUUGCAAAUCAUUGAAACAUGUGUUCUGAAAUUAAGUCACUGAAUACUGAAAAGACCCUUAGACGUAUAUGAGACUGGAGCCAUAGAAUUAUUUUAAGUUUAUAGAAAAGAAGAGCAAUUUCAUAACCCAUAGAAUAAGUACCACCUAAAAUUGAAUUUUACUAUUUAAGCAUUUGCUACUUUACUCAUACCUAAAAUGUUCAGUAUUUUGUUCAAUUGAAGCACAUGAAUUUUAAAUAUUCUGUGUAGUCUUAAUAAAACAUGAAAAUGCUUCGUAUAAAAUCUAAAAGUUAUACCACCCAUCAGAAGCAAUGGAAUCCAAUUACUACAUGUCAAAUUUACAAAUUCCUUAAGGGGAAAGUUCUAAAACAUGAUAAUACCAUCACAUUGCUGUGUAGGUCCCAGAUAUUCAUGUAAUAGAGAUGAUAAAAAUUAGAGGUGGAUAUUCUUGUUUUGUGUCAUGAAUUACUGAAAAUUCCUAGUAGCUGUGGCAUUGUGUGUAUGUGUGUGUGUCUGUGUCUGUGUCUGUGUGUGAGUGAAAUCACCAUUUUCAAAUUUGAGUUAGAAAGGCUUUUACAGUUCUUUUUCCUCCCCACUGUUAAUAAUCAUAAUCCUCUUUCAGUAUUUUAGUGGCCUUGAACAACUGGUUUAGCUACAAUAUCAAAUCCCAAGUGUAUAACUAUGUGCAAUGUUAAUACCUCAUAUAAUAAUUGUUCAACAGUAUAGUGGUACCAAUGGCAUUGAGAUGGCAUUUUUGUUCUACAUAUUUUUCAGUAAUUUAACCUUUCCAAUGUUGAAAUUAUAUCAGGCUUUAACGUUUUUUA